Theobroma cacao (cacao) is the source of this 411-nucleotide non-coding RNA. Lineage: Eukaryota; Viridiplantae; Streptophyta; Magnoliopsida; Malvales; Malvaceae. The record is from RefSeq and is a predicted model, not a curated record.
CUUGGAUUUUGGCUUCAAAUCUUCAUUUUAAGGCUAAAAGGUUUUAACGGUAUUUUCGGACUACCUUGAUUAAGAUUUUGUUAGGUGGCAUCGUUAAGUCUCAGGAUCGAAGGUAGUUGGAUCCUAGGUCGAGGUGCUCUCUCCUAUUCAUCUUUCAGUAGGUUCACCAUGCCACUAAAUGUUAGUACCCACACCCAGAGUCACUCCGCUGACGGUCAGGGUCAUUAUAUGUGUAUAUGUAUAUUUAAGGUGAAUUGCUAAGAUUCAUUUGUCAGACUAUCUAUGUAUAUUAUGAUCGAUGAUGCCAUUAUGAGUAAAUACUUGGGUUUUAUGAAUUGUUUUCAAAGAAAUUAUAUUUGAAUAUUAUGAAUUAUAGAUUUUAAAGAAAUAUGGAUGAUAGAUGGGCUAAUA